Molecule: long non-coding RNA, 824 nt
Filed under: Phaseolus vulgaris (common bean)
Lineage: Eukaryota; Viridiplantae; Streptophyta; Magnoliopsida; Fabales; Fabaceae
Description: long non-coding RNA (PVUL_LNC000317)
Source: RNAcentral
CUAGCAGCCGCUCUUUUGUGUAUUCCCCUUCCUACCCUUGCUCCUUGUUCUCCAAGGCACCUGAACCUAUAUAAUGGGGUGCUUGGCUCAUGUUUUAAUAAGAUCAAUUUUAUGAGUAAAUUGCUGCCAAAUAUUGCAAGCUUUUACUCCCUUGUCUAGUCUCUCUAGGUUAGACACUUUGAUCUUCACCUCCACCUUUCUCAAAGUGAUAUGGCCCAACCAAUCACUCUCCAUACCUUUCAUGCACCUACAAGGAACCCAUAGCUCUAUAUGAGCCCUCCUUGAUCCAUCACAUCCAUUGCUUCCGCCACCCUUUUCAAAUCUCCAAGAAGAACAACCCAUCUUUUGGUAUCAACCCAUCAAACCUUAUAUAGAGGGCACCCACAAGGAGCGUCUAGGCCACACAAGAAGCGUCUAAGAGACACAAGAAGCGUCUAGGCCACACAAGGAGCGUCUAAGAGAGUUGACAUCCAAGAAGGGUGACGUCCAAGAAGGCCCAACAAAGUGUAGCUUAGUCUUAAUUGUGGUGUAAAUAGCAUAGCCUUGUGAACCUUUGUUUAAAUUCUGCAAAUUAGGAUUAAGGAGGAGUUAACCUAGAUUAUCUAGAAGCUCUCCACUAAUCUAGGACGUCCAUGUGCAAGUUAGGAGGCCAUGUGCACCCAUGUGCCAUGUGCUCCAUGUGCCUCUAUGUGCUACUCUUUUGCAUUUCAUUUGGCUUGCAUUUGCUCAUCAUUUAGGUCAUCAUAUCAGGUCCUCCUUAGCCUAUAAAAGGAGGAGCCAACCUCAUGUAUUUCAAGAUUGAAUAGAGUAUUGUUAUGCUGCCA